This 253-nucleotide ribosomal RNA is filed under the name uncultured bacterium. RNAcentral describes it as "partial 16S ribosomal RNA". It matches the Rfam family "Bacterial small subunit ribosomal RNA", at positions 524 to 776 of the family's 1533-position model. The record is from RNAcentral.
UACGUAGGGGGCAAGCGUUGUCCGGAAUCAUUGGGCGUAAAGCGCACGUAGGCGGCCCGGUAAGUCCGUUGUGAAAGUCAGAGGCUCAACCUCUGGAGGCCAAUGGAUACUGCCGGGCUAGAGUCCGGAAGAGGCGAGUGGAAUUCCUGGUGUAGCGGUGGAAUGCGCAGAUAUCAGGAGGAACAUCAGUUGCGAAGGCGGCUCUCUGGACCAGCACUGACACUGAGGCACGAAAGCGUGGGGAGCAAACAGG